CGCCUYUUGUAAACUAAAAAUAAGAGGUCCCGCCUGCCCUGUGACUAUGUUUAACGGCCGCGGUAUUUUGACCGUGCAAAGGUAGCACAAUCACUUGUCUUCUAAAUAGAGACCUGUAUGAAUGGCAUAACGAGGGCUUAACUGUCUCCUUCCCCCGGUCAAUGAAAUUGAUCUCUCCGUGCAGAAGCGGGGAUAUAAACAUAAGACGAGAAGACCCUAUGGAGCUUAAGAUGUAUAGCUGAAUUACUUUAAAACCCCAAGCUACAGGGCCAAACCCAGUAAAAUUCUACUAAAUGUCUUUGGUUGGGGCGACCACGGGGCAAAAACAAACCCCCGCGAGGAAUGGGUUCUUACCCUAUGAUCUACGAACACCAGUUCUAAGCACCAAAACAUUUGACCUUUAGAUCCGGCAUGGCCGAUCAACGAACCGAGUUACCCUAGGGAUAACAGCGCAAUCCCCUCCAAGAGUCCAUAUCGACAAGGGGGUUUACGACCUCGAUGUUGGAUCAGGACAUCCUAAUGGUGCAGCAGCUAUUAAGGGUUCGUUUGUUCAACGAUUAAAGUCCU
Molecule: ribosomal RNA, 567 nt
Filed under: Phoxocampus diacanthus
Lineage: Eukaryota; Metazoa; Chordata; Actinopteri; Syngnathiformes; Syngnathidae
Description: partial 16S ribosomal RNA
Rfam family: Bacterial large subunit ribosomal RNA
Source: RNAcentral